Molecule: ribosomal RNA, 253 nt
Filed under: uncultured bacterium
Lineage: Bacteria
Description: partial 16S ribosomal RNA
Rfam family: Bacterial small subunit ribosomal RNA
Source: RNAcentral
UACGUAGGGUGCAAGCGUUAAUCGGAAUUACUGGGCGUAAAGCGUGCGCAGGCGGCUUUGCAAGACAGAUGUGAAAUCCCCGGGCUUAACCUGGGAACUGCAUUUGUGACUGCAUGGCUAGAGUGCGGCAGAGGGGGAUGGAAUUCCGCGUGUAGCAGUGAAAUGCGUAGAUAUGCGGAGGAACACCGACGGCGAAGGCAAUCCCCUGGGCCUGCACUGACGCUCAUGCACGAAAGCGUGGGGAGCAAACACG